GGCCCGCAGGCGGCCAUGGCGGCGGGCGCCUGGGCCAGGCCGGCGCCGCGCUGGCUGAAGGCGCUGGGCGAGCCGCUGAGCGCGGCGCAGCUGCGGCGGCUGGAGGAACACCGCUACAGCGUCGCGGGCGUCUCGUUGCUUGAGCCGCCGCUGCAGCUCUACUGGACCUGGCUGCUCCAGUGGAUCCCGCUGUGGAUGGCCCCCAACUCCAUCACCCUCCUGGGCCUCGCCAUCAACCUGCUUACCACGCUCCUGCUCAUCUCUUACUGCCCCACGGUCACCGAGGAGGCACCGUACUGGACAUACCUUUUAUGUGCAUUAGGACUCUUUAUCUACCAGUCACUGGAUGCUAUUGAUGGGAAACAAGCCAGAAGAACAAAUUCUUGUUCUCCUUUAGGGGAACUUUUUGACCAUGGCUGUGACUCUCUUUCCACAGUUUUUAUGGCAGUUGGAGCUUCAAUUGCUGUUCGCUUAGGAACGUAUCCUGACUGGUUGUUUUUCUGCUGUUUUAUUGGGAUGUUCAUGUUUUAUUGUGCUCACUGGCAGACUUAUGUUUCAGGCGUGUUGAGGUUUGGAAAAGUGGAUGUAACUGAAAUUCAGGUAGCUUUAGUGAUCGUCUUUGUGUUGUCUACAUUUGGAGGAGCAACAAUGUGGGACUAUACGAUACCUGUCCUAGAAAUAAAAUUGAAGAUCUUACCAGUUCUCGGAGUAGUAGGUGGAGCAAUAUUUUCCUGUUCAAAUUAUUUCCAUGUUAUCCUCCAUGGUGGUGUUGGCAAGAAUGGAUCCACUAUAGCAGGUACCAGUGUCUUGUCACCUGGACUCCACAUAGGAAUAAUUAUUUUACUGGCAAUAAUGAUCUAUAAAAAGUCAGCAACUAAUCUGUUUGAAAAGCAUCCUUGUCUUUAUACCCUAAUGUUUGGAUGUGUCUUUGCUAAAAUCUCACAGAAAUUGGUGAUAGCUCACAUGACCAAAAGUGAACUGUAUCUUCAAGACACUGUCUUUCUUGGCCCAGGUCUUUUAUUUUUAGACCAGUACUUUAAUAAUUUUGUAGACGAAUAUGUUGUUCUAUGGAUAGCAAUGGUCAUUUCUUCAUUUGAUAUGAUGAGGUACUUUAGUGCUUUGUGCCUGCAAAUUUCAAGACACCUUCAUCUAAGUAUCUUCAAGACUUCAUGUCAUCAAGCACCUGAACAGGUUCACAAGCAUAUUGACUAAUAGCCCAAGGAAAAGAGGAGAAGCAGUUAGGGGAACCUAGGAGUGAAGGGAAUCUCCUUUUUCAGGAGGUUCAAGUUAUUCCUUCAAAGAGUCAUCAGAAUAACAUGGACUGAAGAGACUUUCGAACAUUUGCCAUCUCUUGCUGCUGCUGUCAAAUGAAAGGAGAUAUUAAACAUUUGUUUAAUUUUUAGAUAAGUGUUAUACAUAUUUCAGCAAAUAAAAUAUUUCAAUGCUUACAAUAAUCCUUAUUUUUUCAAUUUUAAAUAUAAUAACUUACCGUUUCCAUCAUAAUUUUUUUUUGCAACAUAGCCAUUUCUUUUCUAAGUUCGUUUUGUGCACCAGUAAGUAGAUAAUCGUGAUUCUUCUCCAAGUCCUCCAUACUCUAAAACACAAAAGGCUAGUUCAGUUACAAACCACCACUUUUCAUCUCAGGUUCAAAACUUAUACAAUUAAUUUUCAAAAGCAGGAACUUUUUAAUAUUCAUCAAUGCACAUUAUUUAUCUCAAAUAAAAAUAUUCUAAUACAUGAAAACCAAAAUAUCCACUGAAGGAAUAGAAAAUGUCAGACAUAAAUCAAAUAUUAUUAAAGGAGGUACAAUAGUAGUGUACCUUCUCACUGGAAGAAACAAACAAAAAUCACACAAAAUUUUAUAAAAGGAAUAGAAGCACAACUUCCCGUAGCUAUAUAGUAGAAAAUGGGGACUUAAUUCCAAUUUAGUUGGCAAAAGAAUAAGACUGAAAGGAAGGUUAGGAAAAGGGGUUAAAAGUAUUCUAGGGCAAGAGCAUAAACAAAAGCAUGAAAGUGCAAAGUGAGUGAGUUCAGAGAAAGCCGUUAUGUGGAGGGCGUGGAAGUAAUGGAUGAAUGUAGUAAUUGGAGCAUUAAAAAAAGAAUCAUAUUUUUGGGGGGGUGAAUCUUGAAUACCUAAGAAUUUAGCAUGAGAAGCUACUGACAGUUUUUCAGGAGGGAAAAGGUAAUGUUAUAGAAAGAUAAUAUGGCAGACCCACGAAGGAUGGGUUGGAAAACAGAAAUCAGUUAAGAGUUUUCAUAGUAUAAGCAAAGAAUAAUGAGGUUCUGAACUAGGGCAGUAGCAGUGGAUGUGAAGAAUAAGAGAGAUGGAGGAGUCAAAUAUAGUACUAAAGUUCCUACACCAAGUGGUAAUACUUAGUGAUAGCAUUUAGCACUUAAAUUAAAUCGAAAACAAUGCAUUCAAAAUGGAAAACUGUUAAGAAUUUAAAAUGUAUAAGCAAAAUGUUCUUCCCUUAAACUGAGAAAAAAUUUAUCUUCUACUUCCACAAAUGAAUUAUAUUUUAUAAGAAUGUAUUAUGUUACCAAAUACAACAAACCUUUAUGAACUGCUCAUAUAAUUGUUUAAUUGUUUUCAGUCUCUGGUUCUGAACAAUUCUAGACUGUUGAAAAACUUUCUGUUGCUGUCGAAACAUAUUCUACAAAUGUAAAAGAAAAAAUUAUGAAAUAACAAUUUGGGUAAAAUUUAGCAAAAAUUAAUUCUACAUUACACUUAAAAAGAAUAGUUUUUAAAUCAAUAUUUUUAAGAUUUUAGCAUUUACUAUGACUGAGUUUACAUAAUUUGUGUUCACCACUUAUAUACAAUAAUAUAAUAACCCUACCGGUCAUUGAGUAGGAAAUCUCAACAGUACUCAAAACAUAUUUUAAUUCUUGGUGCUUUCAGUGUCAACACAGAUGAUCCUUACAAUAUUGCUGGUCUUUCAGUUUCUUGGCCUGUUUUCCACCAAUGAUUUUUGUUCUUCACCCUACUUUAGCCAUCCACUUACAUACGCAUACCCUAGAUUUUGUCAUUACCAAAAACUAUAACCUCUGCAUAGUAUUAAUAAUAGCAAACUUGAUAUUAACAAUAUGUUACGAAGCAAAGACCAACAGCUUUUAUGAGUAUGGUAUGUGCCUGUACUUCUGCAUUCAGCAGAACCAAACUCAUAUAGCCAGCAAUGGGCAAUGGAACCUGGCUAAGGUCCAUGGAUGUACUGCAAGGCCGGCCUCUCCCUUCCUACUUGACACUUGGUAAUAGUAGAUUAAUUAUAAAGCUAUAAAGCUAAGCAUAAUACUAACAGUUAGUUUUUCUUCUUGUUCAUCAGCUUUCUGCACAUCUAUAUCCCACUGCUGGAACAAAGUCAGAAACUGCUGAGAAUAUUCUUGGUUAAGCUUCUGCCUGUAAAACAUAAUGAAUAUUGUCAUAUUUCACAUCAAUAUGGAAAGACUUUCAAGACAAAACUGAUUUGACUAAUUAUACUAUAAUAAAAAAGAAAAUAAUAUCAAAUUUUCAGAUGUGAAGCCAAGAAGUAAAGUUAUGAUUUAUCAUGAUUCAGAAGUAUUUAUUUUCCUAACCAACUAACAGAAAAACCCUCUCAUGUACUUUAAGCUCUUGAAAACUAAGGGAGUUUUAUUGUACAUAUACAUUUUCCAGAAAAGUCCAUUUUAUCUCCAAGCAAUUUAUUUUUCAUUUUCUCCUACUGAAUAUAGGUUGUGAUAUGAUAAAUAGAUUCACUGAAGUUAUUAUAUUUAUCAUAUAACAUUUCCAAAUAGAAAUAUUUCACUUAAUUUUUCCUCAUUUUGGUACAAUGAUUUUGUACAAAAGAAUAGUUAAUUCAGCUAAAAUAUACAAAUUAUUUAUAAUACAUAAGGUUGAUCUUUUUCUACACUGUUAAACAGUUAACUAUCAUAAGACUAAUGGUUUAUAUGACAUUUACUUUUUAUUCAGCUAGUGUAUUUUUAGAAUGAAUAUAAAUUACCUUUAUUGUUAAAAAAAACCCUCAAACAUUAUUUAAAAGGGGAAAAAGGACAUCUUUAUUGAUUUCUGGGAAAUAUAUCUCAAGUCUGUGAAGGAAUGAAGUUAUAGGACUAAAGGACUUAGAGGAAAAUCAAGCCAAAUAUACUUUUUUACUAGAGAUCCCAAUAAGUAGAAGAUGAUAGUACUUCUCAUAAUUUGCACCGAUGAAUACUAAGAAAUGAUGCAAAUGUUGUGGCAGUGAAAAAAACAACAUCCUACCUUUGCUCUUGUUGGGUUUUCCAAAUGUUUUCAAUUUUCUGGUUACUGGUUUUGAGAGAAGCCUUGGUAUACAUUUCUAGUCUUUUUCUCUUGGCAAGAAGAGCCUUGUUAAUAUCAGCUAUAUUGAAAAUAAAUACUCAUUAAAUUUAAUGUGGAAGAAAGUUACUUUGUUCCCACGUAUUCAAAUAAACAUCGAUAAAGCUGGUUCAAGAGUUUUGAAAAGAUCUUUAAAAAUACACAUAAUAUCAAAAAGCAAGAUUAUUUCCUUGCUUUUUUUUUUCUGAGAAAACUUUUAGUUAUUGGUAUCCCAAUUCUGAUUUUCCUAACUAGAGAUAAUUUUUUAAUUUAGAGGUGAUUAAAAAGAGCUAAUAACUGAAAGAAAGGGUCUGAAGGACAGACUUUAAUUUCUUCAUAAGAAAACACUAAUAAAGGCUAAAUUUAGAACUCAUUAUAUGAAAUGCAAAACUAUUUUAAGAGUCUAAAAAGAAUAAAAAUAGUUAAAGAAAAUACUUUUUUAAAAUAUAGUCAGUGAUACUUUAAAAAAUAUUUUUACUAAAAGAGACAAAGACCAACCAAGCAUA
Globicephala melas (long-finned pilot whale) is the source of this 4812-nucleotide RNA transcript. It is a transcript of the gene named choline phosphotransferase 1, with no coding region annotated. The record is from RefSeq and is a predicted model, not a curated record. NCBI's taxonomy places the organism in Eukaryota, Metazoa, Chordata, Mammalia, Artiodactyla, Delphinidae.